This 973-nucleotide long non-coding RNA is filed under the name Homo sapiens (human). RNAcentral describes it as "HSALNT0389371". The record is from RNAcentral. Lineage: Eukaryota; Metazoa; Chordata; Mammalia; Primates; Hominidae.
GAGCAACAGGGCUGAGGAGAUACCUGUUCUCCCAGUUUCACGGCCAGUACAAGGCCAUUCUUACACUGCUCGGGGGAGCCCCUCAGGAGAAGACACAUUUAAGAGUUUCCAGCAAGAAGAGUCAGGUCAUGCAGUCAGCUGCUUUCUCAGCCCAGCUGUGGGAAUGUAAACAAGUUUCUAACCUCAUUGAAUCUUAGGUUCCCUGUUUGGAAACAGAUGAGAUCCACAACAGCCAUUAUCUUAUUGGAUGGUUGUUGUAUGGCAGGGGCUGUACUGAAGAGUCACACACAUUACUUAGUCUUCCCAACAAUCCUGCAAGAUAUAGAACCUUGACAUGUUUCUCAGGCUGGUCUGAAACUCCUGGGGCUCAAGCGAUCCACCUGCCUCCACCUCUCAAAGUGCUGAGAUUACAGGGAUGAUGCAUCUGAGAGCUCAAUGCAUGUCGGUGAUGAUGAAGGUGAAGAUGCUGUGAGUGAUGAUGAGGAGGAGGAGGAGGAUGUAAUUGAAGGAGCUUGGGCUUUGCCAUCAGUACAGCUGAGUUAAAAUAUGGCAAACCAGGAAAACAGAGCUCAGUACAGAAGGGAGUUGGGCAGCCUCUGUUCCUGUUUGGCUCUGUCCUUGAAGAAAGUGAUAAGAAGUGCACAGAUUUUGGAAUUAAACAGACCAUGGUUUGAAGUCUGGAUCUUCCAGUUGUAACCAGGUGGCAUUGGGGCCUAUGGUUCAUCCUGCAAUAUCAGAGAAUACACAACUGUUGGAAGCUCAUUUGUGCAGAAGCACUAGUUAGACCAAGUCCCAGGAUGGUGGGGACUUGAACUGCCUCAUGCACAUUGUACCCAAGAGCCUGGCCCAUGAAGGUGAAUCAGUGGAUACUUGAAUAAAAAGAAGAAUAUGCGCUGAAGUUUUCUUUGAGGACAUUUUUUUUUCUUUCCAUAGUUUUGAGCAUCUCUGAUGUUUUGAGAUUUCUGCCAGUCUU